Molecule: ribosomal RNA, 457 nt
Filed under: Acanthamoeba sp.
Lineage: Eukaryota; Discosea; Longamoebia; Acanthamoebidae
Description: SSU rRNA
Rfam family: Eukaryotic small subunit ribosomal RNA
Source: RNAcentral
GGCCCAGAUCGUUUACCGUGAAAAAAUUAGAGUGUUCAAAGCAGGCAGAUCCAAUUUUCUGCCACCGAAUACAUUAGCAUGGGAUAAUGGAAUAGGACCCUGUCCUCCUAUUUUCAGUUGGUUUGCCGCGAGGACCAGGGUAAUGAUUAAUAGGGAUAGUUGGGGGCAUUAAUAUUUAAUUGUCAGAGGUGAAAUUCUUGGAUUUAUGAAAGAUUAACUUCUGCGAAAGCAUCUGCCAAGGAUGUUUUCAUUAAUCAAGAACGAAAGUUAGGGGAUCGAAGACGAUCAGAUACCGUCGUAGUCUUAACCAUAAACGAUGCCGACCAGCGAUUAGGAGACGUUGAAUACAAAACACCACCAUGCGAUUGCGGUCGUCUUUGGUGUCGCUCACAAGGCGGCACCGGGGCGGCUUAGCUCGCAUGGCACCGGUGAAUGACUCCCCUAGCAGCUUGUGAGA